This 253-nucleotide ribosomal RNA is filed under the name uncultured bacterium. RNAcentral describes it as "partial 16S ribosomal RNA". It matches the Rfam family "Bacterial small subunit ribosomal RNA", at positions 524 to 776 of the family's 1533-position model. The record is from RNAcentral.
UACAGAGGGGGCAAGCGUUGUUCGGAAUUACUGGGCGUAAAGGGCGCGUAGGCGGCCCGCUAAGUCGAACGUGAAAUCCCCGAGCUCAACUCGGGAACUGCGUCCGAUACUGGCGGGCUUGAAUCCGGGAGAGGGAUGCGGAAUUCCAGGUGUAGCGGUGAAAUGCGUAGAUAUCUGGAGGAACACCGGUGGCGAAGGCGGCAUCCUGGACCGGCAUUGACGUUGAGGCGCGAAAGCUAGGGGAGCAAACGGG